AUGUAAUGCAACAUGAUCAUAUUGAGCCAUCAAAAUAUUGACAAAAGCAAAAUAAUUAUUGUUAUCUUGCCUCUUUAGAGUUCUUGAUUACUUCACCUUUUAGCUUCAUAUGUAGUCAGAUGAUGGUUUGAAAUUUGGAUAUGAUCUUUGGUAGUCCUAUUAUGUUUUCUUCUGUGCUAAGCACUAUUGCACUCAUUGCAGACUACGAAAGGGCAGUUUCACUGUGAUGACUGUGGGAUCUGUAGGUUAGUGAGCAGAGUAUGAUUAUUCUUCUGUUUCUAGAUGACUUAUAAAUGUCUUCCAGUUAGCUAUAUCAAAUGUUGUUCUGAUCUGAAUUAUAAUAUUUCAAUCAGAGUUGGAGGUCGUGAUAAAUUCUUUCACUGCAAGAAGUGUGGUAUGAAUCACUACUUUUGUGUUUUACAUUUAAACUUAUCAUUUUGAUGAACUUAGUUGAUGUAUAUUUUUUUCAACAAUCUUGUCAAACAAUAGCAAUGCUAGUUCUUCCUUUCUUCUUCUUUUUCUUAUGUUCCUUAAUUUGUUUUCUGUAGAUCAGAAGGUUGCAAUCUUCUGUGUUUUGUUUUGCAUCUUAAUUAUUUCAUAUUUUUAUUAGCUUCCACCAUCCUUUAGUUUCUAGUUCCCUGGGAAUUGAAUUUUUAGGCAGUAAAUAAAGUUUAGGACACUGUAUAAACAGACAUGGUCUUAAAUUUUUUGCUUCUAUGUACAUUACCUUUAAGGCUUAGGUGGAAGUGAUAAUCUUCUUGAGUCUUGUUUCUUAUGUGAAAUCUUAAAUAUGGAAGCAUACCAAUGAUGGUUGUUGAUUCAACCAAUUGCGAGUGGAUGGGUAAUUUUUCUGUAGAUGAAUCGAUACUGCUGAUCAAUGUGUGAUAUAGGCAUACUUCAUUAUUCCCACGUUUCUAAAUUUUUUUAGGCAUCUUACCUCCCAUAUGGUCUUCAUGCAUGAAUGAUUCCUGUUGGAGCUGGCCACCACUCAGAAGGAAAGGCUCCAACCACAAGAAACAAUCUCAAUUCUACCAUAUAUGUCUAAAAUGCCAGUUCUAUUUUAUCAUCUUCCUUUUUUAUGCUAUUCUAUUUUUGUAAUUGGUAUACCAUGUUUUUCGUACUUACUUUCUAAAGAAAUUCGGUCAUGUUGCUGUUUUAAAUUCUCACUUGAAACCCUUUUUGUUAUGACAUACAGUUGCUAUUUCCAGGAAAAUUACCUCAUGGAUUUGUUCAGACCUGCCUUUAUCCUAGAACUGAUAAUGGAUUUACCCUUUCUCCAAUGCCAACUUUGGGCAUAAUAGCUCUCUAUCUUCUUAUGUACUCUCUUGUAAAGGACCUUAUUGCAUUAGAGUUUUCAUCCUUGUGAUGGAAAAUGUUUGGGGUAAGUCAUUGCUUGAAGACACUGAAUAGGUUAUUGUUGUGGCUACAACAAUGAUAUGUAUGAUAUGUUAUUUUCUAUACUUUGCUUCUUCAUUUAGCUAGUUGGUGGGUUUGGAGCUGUUUUUUGUCAUGUUCAGGAUUGUAGCUCUUGUUCUUCUCUUGAUUUUUCUCAACUCUAGGCAAUUUGUAUCUUAAUGAUGCUGAAUUGUGCUUUGUUCUACUGACCUGACGCUUUUUUCUUCAUUCCCAAAUUCAUUAUUGCUUUGGUAUUUCUUGUUGAUUUGUCAUCCACCUAAUACUUUGGUCUACUUACCCAAUACUUCCUUUAUUCAUUCCCAAAGUAUCUUUUCAAACUCAUUAUUGUUUUGGUAUUUCUUGUUCAUUUGUCAUCCAUCUAAUUCUACUGGAAUAAUCAUUUGCGUCAUACCCGUGUGAGGAGUCUCCUCCUAAUAUAUUAUUCCAUUAUGAGGCAAGAGUUGAUUGGAUAUUUUAGAAGAUUUAUUAUGUUUAAGGUCAUUUUUUUAACCAGUCCUUGUGUUUUCUUCAAGAUGAAAUAUAACCUGAUAAUUAAUGGGACUACAAACUAUGGAACCAACCACUGCCAAUUCUGACUGUUAAAAGAGAGUGUGUGUGCG
Molecule: long non-coding RNA, 2015 nt
Filed under: Vitis vinifera (wine grape)
Lineage: Eukaryota; Viridiplantae; Streptophyta; Magnoliopsida; Vitales; Vitaceae
Description: long non-coding RNA (VVIN_LNC001306)
Source: RNAcentral